RNAcentral lists this ribosomal RNA (509 nucleotides) under uncultured bacterium. RNAcentral's name for it is "partial 16S ribosomal RNA". It matches the Rfam family "Bacterial small subunit ribosomal RNA", at positions 29 to 507 of the family's 1533-position model. The record is from RNAcentral.
ACGAACGCUGGCGGCGUGCUUAACACAUGCAAGUCGAACGAAGAGCGAUGGAAGCUUGCUUCUAUCAAUCUUAGUGGCGAACGGGUGAGUAACGCGUAAUCAACCUGCCCUUCAGAGGGGGACAACAGUUGGAAACGACUGCUAAUACCGCAUACGAUCUGACCUCGGCAUCGAGGAUAGAUGAAAGGUGGCCUCUACAUGUAAGCUAUCACUGAAGGAGGGGAUUGCGUCUGAUUAGCUAGUUGGAGGGGUAACGGCCCACCAAGGCGAUGAUCAGUAGCCGGUCUGAGAGGAUGAACGGCCACAUUGGGACUGAGACACGGCCCAGACUCCUACGGGAGGCAGCAGUGGGGAAUCUUCCGCAAUGGACGAAAGUCUGACGGAGCAACGCCGCGUGAGUGAUGACGGCCUUCGGGUUGUAAAGCUCUGUUAAUCGGGACGAAAGGCCUUUUUGCGAAUAGUGAGAAGGAUUGACGGUACCGGAAUAGAAAGCCACGGCUAACUACGUG